Molecule: ribosomal RNA, 253 nt
Filed under: uncultured bacterium
Lineage: Bacteria
Description: partial 16S ribosomal RNA
Rfam family: Bacterial small subunit ribosomal RNA
Source: RNAcentral
UACGAAGGGGGCUAGCGUUGCUCGGAAUCACUGGGCGUAAAGGGUGCGUAGGCGGGUCUUUAAGUCAGGGGUGAAAUCCUGGAGCUCAACUCCAGAACUGCCUUUGAUACUGAAGAUCUUGAGUUCGGGAGAGGUGAGUGGAACUGCGAGUGUAGAGGUGAAAUUCGCAGAUAUCAGGAAGAACACCCGUGGCUAAGGCGGCUCUCUAGUACGGUACUGACGCUGAGACGCGAAAGCGUGGGGAGCGAACAGG